Potamilus streckersoni is the source of this 82-nucleotide non-coding RNA. Lineage: Eukaryota; Metazoa; Mollusca; Bivalvia; Unionida; Unionidae. The record is from the annotation of a GenBank genome assembly.
AACUUGACCACUCCGGUGGCCUAGUGGUUAGAGCGUCCUUCUCAGAUGCGGGAGGUCGCGGGUUCGAACCCUGGUCGAGUUA